AAAUUGAAGAGUUUGAUCAUGGCUCAGAUUGAACGCUGGCGGCAGGCCUAACACAUGCAAGUCGAACGGUAACAGGAAGCAGCUUGCUGCUUUGCUGACGAGUGGCGGACGGGUGAGUAAUGUCUGGGAAACUGCCUGAUGGAGGGGGAUAACUACUGGAAACGGUAGCUAAUACCGCAUAACGUCGCAAGACCAAAGAGGGGGACCUUCUGGCCUCUUGCCAUCGGAUGUGCCCAGAUGGGAUUAGCUUGUUGGUGGGGUAACGGCUCACCAAGGCGACGAUCCCUAGCUGGUCUGAGAGGAUGACCAGCCACACUGGAACUGAGACACGGUCCAGACUCCUACGGGAGGCAGCAGUGGGGAAUAUUGCACAAUGGGCGCAAGCCUGAUGCAGCCAUGCCGCGUGUAUGAAGAAGGCCUUCGGGUUGUAAAGUACUUUCAGCGGGGAGGAAGGGAGUAAAGUUAAUACCUUU
This 473-nucleotide ribosomal RNA is filed under the name Escherichia coli. RNAcentral's name for it is "bacterial SSU rRNA". It matches the Rfam family "Bacterial small subunit ribosomal RNA", at positions 1 to 470 of the family's 1533-position model. Lineage: Bacteria; Pseudomonadati; Pseudomonadota; Gammaproteobacteria; Enterobacterales; Enterobacteriaceae. The record is from RNAcentral.